RNAcentral lists this ribosomal RNA (454 nucleotides) under uncultured bacterium. RNAcentral describes it as "bacterial SSU rRNA". It matches the Rfam family "Bacterial small subunit ribosomal RNA", at positions 340 to 786 of the family's 1533-position model. The record is from RNAcentral.
UACGGAAGGCAGCAGUGGGGAAUAUUGCACAAUGGGCGAAAGCCUGAUGCAGCUAUGCCGCGUGUAUGAAGAAGGCCCUAGGGUUGUAAAGUACUUUCAUCGGGGAGGAAAAAACAAAACUAAUAAUUUUAUUUCUUGACGUUACCCGAAAAAGAAGCACCGGCUAACUCCGUGCCAGCAGCCGCGGUAAUACGGAGGGUGCUAGCGUUAAUCAGAAUUACUGGGCGUAAAGAGCACGUAGGUGGUUUUUUAAGUCAGAUGUGAAAUCCCUGGGCUUAACCUAGGAACUGCAUUUGAAACUGAAAUACUAGAGUAUCGUAGAGGGAGGUAGAAUUCUAGGUGUAGCGGUGAAAUGCGUAGAUAUCUGGAGGAAUACCUGUGGCGAAAGCGGCCUCCUAAACGAAUACUGACACUGAGGUGCGAAAGCGUGGGGAGCAAACAGGGAUUAGAUACC